Molecule: long non-coding RNA, 1079 nt
Filed under: Felis catus (domestic cat)
Lineage: Eukaryota; Metazoa; Chordata; Mammalia; Carnivora; Felidae
Description: lncRNA (ENSFCAG00000050775.1)
Source: RNAcentral
ACCAUUUUAUUGCUCAGAUACAUAAUUUCUAUUGGAACAUAAGGAAGUGGACAAGCAGAGCGAAAACUUGAAACUUGAAAGCCAUUUUUCAUCUAGAGUGUACCCCAUGCUUCGCUCUGUAAGUGAUGUUUCUAUGCACUACAGCUGGAGUUCUAGUCAUAGAGCAGAAGCCUUGUUUUCAGAGAAAGGACAACCAGCAAUAUUUGGCAACCGCUCCCCUAUUCUCAACCAAUAGACUUACAAAUGGAAGCUUUGCAGCAAACGGGAUCUGGCAGGGAAUGAAGGUGGGACCAACAUACAUUCAUUCCCAAUCCUAGAAGAUAAUUUUAAAUGUAAGCCUGUUGACAGUGACCCAGCCAUGUCAUUUUUGUUCAUGGGCCAUAGAAUGCUUUUGUAUAUAAAUCUGCUUGAGCGAAAAUAUAAUGUAAGUUAGCUUAACUAUGCUUAAAAUCGUCACUUAAAAAUCAUUUAUUAUAGAAAGCUUAAGUAUGUAUAUCCAGAAAUUUUACUCAUGCCUUCUCCAACUUUUGCACUAGAAAACACCUAAAGGGAACUUUUUGCACACUUACACAAAUGGAGAGAGAACAGUGUUUUAUAUAAGGAAGCUGUGGUGAAUGUAACCAAAAUACUGUCAAGUGACGAGAAAUAGUGUGUUGAUGUCCUGCAGUGAAGCCUGACAGGUGCUCCAUACAAUAUGAGAUUUUUCUAUUUGUGCCAGCAGUGGAUCAUUUGGAAUAUCUCAGAAACUAGAACUUGAAUCAGAAUGCCAGGCAUCUUAACAUGAUGCCAAACUCUUCAGACAAAAAGAUAGAGGGAAAGAAGAAGAAGAAGAAGAAAGAAAGAGGGGAGGAUAUUCGUGAUCUCUACAGAGGCUAAAUUGUUGCCUAGGUUCACGGCCAUUAAUUGUGACUGUGUUUCUAAAACUUUCCAACCAUCAGCCUGGUAAAGAGCCUAUCUGAGAAUCACCUGCUGUGUGGGAUGGAAAGGAUUAGCGUGGCUCUCACUGGUUACAUCACCGCUUAAUUUGGCUCUUCCCUAUAUCAAGUCAACUCAUAAUUAUCUGCUCUAAUGGGCCUCAG